AUUGAACAUAAGAGUUUGAUCCUGGCUCAGAUUGAACGCUGGCGGCAUGCUUUACACAUGCAAGUCGGACGGCAGCACAGGGAAGCUUGCUUCUCGGGUGGCGAGUGGCGAACGGGUGAGUAACAUAUCGGAACGUACCGGGUAGCGGGGGAUAACUGAUCGAAAGAUCAGCUAAUACCGCAUACGUCUUGAGAGGGAAAGCAGGGGACCUUCGGGCCUUGCGCUAUCCGAGCGGCCGAUAUCUGAUUAGCUGGUUGGCGGGGUAAAGGCCCACCAAGGCGACGAUCAGUAGCGGGUCUGAGAGGAUGAUCCGCCACACUGGGACUGAGACACGGCCCAGACUCCUACGGGAGGCAGCAGUGGGGAAUUUUGGACAAUGGGCGCAAGCCUGAUCCAGCCAUGCCGCGUGUCUGAAGAAGGCCUUCGGGUUGUAAAGGACUUUUGUCAGGGAAGAAAAGGCUGUUGCCAAUAUCGGCGGCCGAUGACGGUACCUGAAGAAUAAGCACCGGCUAACUACGUGCCAGCAGCCGCGGUAAUACGUAGGGUGCGAGCGUUAAUCGGAAUUACUGGGCGUAAAGCGGGCGCAGACGGUUACUUAAGCAGGAUGUGAAAUCCCCGGGCUCAACCCGGGAACUGCGUUCUGAACUGGGUGACUCGAGUGUGUCAGAGGGAGGUGGAAUUCCACGUGUAGCAGUGAAAUGCGUAGAGAUGUGGAGGAAUACCGAUGGCGAAGGCAGCCUCCUGGGAUAACACUGACGUUCAUGUCCGAAAGCGUGGGUAGCAAACAGGAUUAGAUACCCUGGUAGUCCACGCCCUAAACGAUGUCAAUUAGCUGUUGGGCAACUUGAUUGCUUGGUAGCGUAGCUAACGCGUGAAAUUGACCGCCUGGGGAGUACGGUCGCAAGAUUAAAACUCAAAGGAAUUGACGGGGACCCGCACAAGCGGUGGAUGAUGUGGAUUAAUUCGAUGCAACGCGAAGAACCUUACCUGGUUUUGACAUGUGCGGAAUCCUCCGGAGACGGAGGAGUGCCUUCGGGAGCCGUAACACAGGUGCUGCAUGGCUGUCGUCAGCUCGUGUCGUGAGAUGUUGGGUUAAGUCCCGCAACGAGCGCAACCCUUGUCAUUAGUUGCCAUCAUUCGGUUGGGCACUCUAAUGAGACUGCCGGUGACAAGCCGGAGGAAGGUGGGGAUGACGUCAAGUCCUCAUGGCCCUUAUGACCAGGGCUUCACACGUCAUACAAUGGUCGGUACAGAGGGUAGCCAAGCCGCGAGGCGGAGCCAAUCUCACAAAACCGAUCGUAGUCCGGAUUGCACUCUGCAACUCGAGUGCAUGAAGUCGGAAUCGCUAGUAAUCGCAGGUCAGCAUACUGCGGUGAAUACGUUCCCGGGUCUUGUACACACCGCCCGUCACACCAUGGGAGUGGGGGAUACCAGAAGUAGGUAGGGUAACCGCAAGGAGCCCGCUUACCACGGUAUGCUUCAUGACUGGGGUGAAGUCGUAACAAGGUAGCCGUAGGGGAACCUGCGGCUGGAUCACCUCCUUUCUAG
This 1548-nucleotide ribosomal RNA is filed under the name Neisseria gonorrhoeae. RNAcentral's name for it is "bacterial SSU rRNA". It matches the Rfam family "Bacterial small subunit ribosomal RNA". The record is from RNAcentral. Lineage: Bacteria; Pseudomonadati; Pseudomonadota; Betaproteobacteria; Neisseriales; Neisseriaceae.